UACGUAGGGUGCGAGCGUUAAUCGGAAUUACUGGGCGUAAAGUGUGCGCAGGCGGCCGAGCAAGUCGAGUGUGAAAGCCCCGGGCUUAACUUGGGAAUUGCGCUCGAAACUACUUGGCUGGAGUGUGGCAGAGGAAGGUGGAAUUCCAGGUGUAGCGGUGAAAUGCGUAGAGAUCUGGAGGAACACCGAUGGCGAAGGCAGCCUUCUGGGCCAACACUGACGCCCAUGCACGAAAGCGUGGGGAGCAAACAGG
RNAcentral lists this ribosomal RNA (253 nucleotides) under uncultured bacterium. Its description in RNAcentral is "partial 16S ribosomal RNA". It matches the Rfam family "Bacterial small subunit ribosomal RNA", at positions 524 to 776 of the family's 1533-position model. The record is from RNAcentral.